Molecule: ribosomal RNA, 190 nt
Filed under: uncultured bacterium
Lineage: Bacteria
Description: partial 16S ribosomal RNA
Rfam family: Bacterial small subunit ribosomal RNA
Source: RNAcentral
CCUACGGGAGGCAGCAGUGGGGAAUAUUGCGCAAUGGGCGAAAGCCUGACGCAGCCACGCCGCGUGAGCGAUGAAGGCCUUCGGGUCGUAAAGCUCUGUGGGGAGAGAAGAAUAAAGCCUGUGAAGAGCGGGCCUUGACGGUAUCUCCUUAGCAAGCACCGGCUAACUCCGUGCCAGCAGCCGCGGUAAU